Molecule: non-coding RNA, 898 nt
Organism: Nicotiana tabacum (common tobacco)
Lineage: Eukaryota; Viridiplantae; Streptophyta; Magnoliopsida; Solanales; Solanaceae
Source: RefSeq, a predicted model, not a curated record
AUUACACAACAAGCAACAUAUAAGCAGUCAUCUCAUGAUGUUAAAAAGUCGGGUCCUGCUCCGCUGCCAUCAGGAAUCCCUGUACAGACACGAGCAAAUAUUGUUAUUGAGUCUAAUACUGCUCCACAGGCAUGUCGGGUUGAUGGUGUUGGUCAAGUGGAUGUUGGUGGAAGUAAUGUGAAUUUGCCUUCUGGUAAUGUCUUCUAUAUAUAACUUUUCAUUCUUUUUUUCUAAAUUUCUUAACUUUGUAUAUUUAUUUAUUCACUAGCAUUUUCUAAUUUAAGCUCCAUGUCGACACGGGGGUGAUCUUCACUUGGAUUCUGAUUUUGAAUAUACUGAUUCUCAACUUGAUCUAAUUGCUGCCAUUACACAAGGAGGGAGACGUAAUGUAAAUCAAUCUGGAAAUGAUCUGACAACUCGUGCUGUAAAUAAGUCUAAACCUGAUCAGUCGGUAUCAAGAAAUAUUGUUCAGAUACAAACAGAUGUUGAAACUACUCCUGCAGUUUUAACACGGAAAAGGCGCCCCGCAGCUGUAAAACAGUCACCGUAUAGGAAUGACUGGCAAUCUGGUGUUAGUGCAGUUGGGGGAUCCUCGAAGGUUAUCAAAGGAAGAUUUCCAUUUGUAAAUGACAUUUCAGAGACGGUUGAUUUUAAGCUUACGACUGCAUUCUCAAACUUUGUUGAAGCAAAUAUGCAAUUGGGAGAGGAAGUGUAUUUACCUGGUGAUCAAAAGCUAGAGCCUUGUUUUGACUUUGAAGUUGAACAGAUUGAUGAUAAGACGUUUUUCCAUACCUUAAACUAUUCUGGCAGGCCGCUCUCUAGUUCGCACUUGAAUAUUAUAUUCUACUAUCUUAGGAAGAAGGCGAAAUAUGGAAUUAAUAUGCCAAUCAAAGUCACA